AUUGAACGCUGGCGGCAGGCCUAACACAUGCAAGUCGCGCGAGAGGCGGACGGGUUAGUCAUUUAUGGUGACUUCCCGAUAUAGGGGGAUAACUAUUUGAAACGGUAGCUAAUACCGCAUACUAUAGGAUAACCCAUAGGGGAUUAGCUAGUAGGUGAGGUACUGGCUCAACUAGGCGACGAUCCCUAGCUGGUCUGAGAGGAUGAUCAGCCAAACUGGGACGAGGACACGGCCCAGACUCCUACGGAGGCAGCAGUGGGGAAUAUUGCACAAUGGGCGCAAGCCUGAUGCAGCCAUGCCGCGUGUAUGAAGAAGGCCCUAGGGUUGUAAAGUACUUUCAGUCGGGAGGCGUUACCGACAGAAGAAGCACCGGCUAACUCCGUGCCAGCAGCCGCGGUAAUUC
RNAcentral lists this ribosomal RNA (403 nucleotides) under uncultured bacterium. RNAcentral describes it as "partial 16S ribosomal RNA". It matches the Rfam family "Bacterial small subunit ribosomal RNA", at positions 30 to 526 of the family's 1533-position model. The record is from RNAcentral.